UACGUAGGGGGCAAGCGUUAUCCGGAUUUACUGGGUGUAAAGGGAGCGUAGACGGCUUUGCAAGCCAGAUGUGAAAGCCCGGGGCUCAACCUCGGGACUGCAUUUGGAACUGUAUGGCUGGAGUGUCGGGGAGGCAGGCGGAAUUCCUAGUGUAGCGGUGAAAUGCGUAGAUAUUAGGAGGAACACCAGUGGCGAAGGCGGCCUGCUGGACGAUGACUGACGUUGAGGCUCGAAAGCGUGGGGAGCAAACAGG
This 253-nucleotide ribosomal RNA is filed under the name uncultured bacterium. RNAcentral's name for it is "partial 16S ribosomal RNA". It matches the Rfam family "Bacterial small subunit ribosomal RNA", at positions 524 to 776 of the family's 1533-position model. The record is from RNAcentral.